Hemicordylus capensis (graceful crag lizard) is the source of this 1334-nucleotide long non-coding RNA. RefSeq lists it as uncharacterized. NCBI's taxonomy places the organism in Eukaryota, Metazoa, Chordata, Lepidosauria, Squamata, Cordylidae. The record is from RefSeq and is a predicted model, not a curated record. The transcript has 3 exons.
GACACACAUUGACUUUGGAAUCUCCCAGACCUCAGCAUCCACUGCUUGACCACUUCUGCUGAACAAGGCCAUGCAAGGGGAAAGCUCUCACCUAUUUUUCUGAUAAUCCAUGUGCAAGGAAUCCUAAAGAACACUUUGGGAGCAAGCUGAUGACUCCACUGGAGGAGCCAUUUUGCCUCUGAUGGGAAUUGAACCCCAGGGCAUGUGAUGAUGGCACAUUAUAUAUGACCAUGCCAAAAAAAAAAGAAAAAGAAAAAAGCCAGGAACUGAGAGUGGGAAGAGAAGAGCUGCAGCAAGACCUUGCCACAAUCUGUGAAAAGGGCUACAGAAUCCAGUGGCCUAAGCAAGCAUGACAAGAAGUUAUGUUUUUGGAACCUUAUUAUUCUCCUGAAUAAAGUUGAAUUAAGGACUAUUUUGGACAUGAAGAACCAGGGGUCAUCCCAUGAAAUUGAUUGCCAGGAAAUUGAGGACCAACGAACAGAAGUACUUUUUCACACAACGCAUAAUAAACUUGUGGAAUUCUCUGCCACAAGAUGUGGUGUCAGCCAACAACAUGGAUGGCUUUAAGAGGGGUUUGGAUAACUUCAUGGAGGAGAGGUCUAUCAAUGGCUACUAGUCGGAGGGCUAUAGGCCACCUCCGGCCUCAAAGGUAGGAUGCCUCUGAAUACCAGUUGCAAGGGAGUAACAGCAGGAGAGAGGGCAUGCCCUCAACUCCUGCCUGUAGGCUUCCAGCAGCAUCUGGUGGACCACUGCGUGAAACAGGAUGUUGGACUAGAUGGGCCUUGGGCCUGAUCCAGCAGGGCUGUUCAUAUGUUAUUUUUUGCUGCUAAAUUUGCCUGAAAAGGAAAGCAAUUAUUGCUAACUUCUUCUCAAGACCAAUAUUUGAGAAGCUUCUCAGUCCAAUGCACGCCCCACCUUUCAUUUAGGAAGUUUCCAAAGCAUUUUACAAACUAUACAUAAAUUGCCUCACCAAACUAAAUAAACUAGAUCUAGAAUUAAAAAGGCAUAUGUUUUAAAAUAGGCAUGGCUGUCUAGGACAGUGAAUAAAGUAUGUCAUGUCCAACUGAAAUUACAGGGGAAGGUUUUAGCAAGGAUCACAAAAUUAACCAAGUUCCUUUGCAAGGAUCAUUGCCCAUCUUGGAUUGUAAAAGCCACUGGGAAAAGCCUGGGCCUUUUUGCUUUUUUUUUUUUUUGCAAAUGCAAAGUCUGAAUGGUUCCCUGAGGAAGGACAUGUUGUUGGCAAAUUUUAAACACCUAGUUUAAGAUGAUUACUGGUGGAAUUUCUGACAGGUAACUCUUGUGCCUUUGUUGCUGUUUUUGGAGGAGGAGAAAGA